This 30-nucleotide non-coding RNA is filed under the name Methanocaldococcus jannaschii DSM 2661. The record is from RNAcentral. Lineage: Archaea; Methanobacteriati; Methanobacteriota; Methanococci; Methanococcales; Methanocaldococcaceae.
AUUAAAAUCAAAUCAAUUCGGAAUGAAAAU